UACGGAGGGGGCGAGCGUUAUUCGGAAUUAUUGGGCGUAAAGGGCGCGUAGGCUGCCCUGUAAGUCAAAGGUGAAAUCCCUCGGCUCAACUGAGGAACUGCCUUUGAAACUGCAGGGCUUGAGGCCGGGAGGGGGUAGCGGAAUUCCCAAUGUAGCGGUGAAAUGCGUAGAUAUUGGGAGGAACACCAGUGGCGAAGGCGGCUACCUGGACCGGUUCUGACGCUGAGGCGCGAAAGCGUGGGUAGCAAACAGG
This 253-nucleotide ribosomal RNA is filed under the name uncultured bacterium. RNAcentral's name for it is "partial 16S ribosomal RNA". It matches the Rfam family "Bacterial small subunit ribosomal RNA", at positions 524 to 776 of the family's 1533-position model. The record is from RNAcentral.